UCCCCUGAUUUAGACGGACGCGUACGGGCUGAAGCUAAUGCCCUAUCGUAAUCAUGCGCCUGAGUAGCUGGAGGGAUAACGUUCCGGUAAACGCGGUCGCUCAUACCGCAUACGUCCUACGCGGAGAAAGCAGGUGACCUUCGGGCCUUGCGCUAUCAGAUGAGCCUAGGUCGGAUUAGCUAGUUGGUGAGGUAAUGGCUCACCAAGGCGACGAUCCGUAACUGGUCUGAGAGGAUGAUCAGUCACACUGGAACUGAGACACGGUCCAVACUAAUACGGGAGGCAGCAGUGGGGAAUAUUGGACAAUGGGCGAAAGCCUGAUCCAGCCAUGCCGCGUGUGUGAAGAAGGUCUUCGGAUUGUAAAGCA
Molecule: ribosomal RNA, 367 nt
Filed under: uncultured bacterium
Lineage: Bacteria
Description: bacterial SSU rRNA
Rfam family: Bacterial small subunit ribosomal RNA
Source: RNAcentral